Molecule: ribosomal RNA, 253 nt
Filed under: uncultured bacterium
Lineage: Bacteria
Description: partial 16S ribosomal RNA
Rfam family: Bacterial small subunit ribosomal RNA
Source: RNAcentral
GACGAACCGUGCGAACGUUGUUCGGAAUCACUGGGCUUAAAGGGCGCGUAGGCGGGUGUGCAAGUCUGUGGUGAAAGCCUCCAGCUUAACUGGAGAAGUGCCGUGGAUACUGCGCAUCUUGAGGAGGGUAGGGGCAUCUGGAACGGUCGGUGGAGCGGUGAAAUGCGUUGAUAUCGACCGGAACUCCGGUGGCGAAGGCGAGGUGCUGGACCAUUUCUGACGCUGAGGCGCGAAAGCCAGGGGAGCAAACGGG